UUUAAACUUGAGAGUUUGAUCAUGGCUCAGAACGUACGCUGGCGGCACGCCUAACACAUGCAAGUCGAACGAAGUAGCAAUACUUAGUGGCAGACGGGUGAGUAACAUGUAGGUAUCUGCCCUUUGGCCUGGAAUAACACGAGGAAACUUGUGCUAAUACCGGAUAAGUCUUUACGGAGAAAGCUUUAUGCACCAUUGGAUGAGCCUGCACUUGAUUAGUUUGUUGGUAGGGUAAUGGCCUACCAAGACUGUGAUCAAUAGCUGAUUUGAGAGGAUGAUCAGCCACAUUGGGACUGAGACACGGCCCAAACUCCUACGGGAGGCAGCAGUGGGGAAUCUUGCACAAUGGAGGAAACUCUGAUGCAGCGAUGCCGCGUGAGUGAAGAAGGCCUUUGGGUUGUAAAGCUCUUUCGUCGGGGAAGAAAAUGACUGUACCCGAAUAAGAAGGUCCGGCUAACUUCGUGCCAGCAGCCGCGGUAAUACGAAGGGACCUAGCGUAGUUCGGAAUUACUGGGCUUAAAGAGUUCGUAGGUGGUUGAAAAAGUUGGUGGUGAAAUCCCAGAGCUUAACUCUGGAACUGCCAUCAAAACUUUUCAGCUAGAGUUUGAUAGAGGAAAGCAGAAUUUCUAGUGUAGAGGUGAAAUUCGUAGAUAUUAGAAAGAAUACCAAUUGCGAAGGCAGCUUUCUGGAUCAAUACUGACACUGAGGAACGAAAGCAUGGGUAGCGAAGAGGAUUAGAUACCCUCGUAGUCCAUGCCGUAAACGAUGUGUGUUAGACGUUGGAAAUUUAUUUUCAGUGUCGCAGCGAAAGCGAUAAACACACCGCCUGGGGAGUACGACCGCAAGGUUAAAACUCAAAUGAAUUGACGGGGACCCGCACAAGUAGUGGAGCAUGUGGUUUAAUUCGAAGAUACGCGCAGAACCUUACCAACACUUGACAUGUUCGUCGCGACUUUAAGAGAUUAAAGUUUUCGGUUCGGCCGGACGAAACACAGGUGCUGCAUGGCUGUCGUCAGCUCGUGUCGUGAGAUGUUGGGUUAAGUCCCGCAACGAGCGCAACCCUCACUUUUAGUUGCCAUCAUUUAGUUGGGCACUCUGAAAGAACUGCCAGUGAUAAGCUGGAGGAAGGUGGGGAUGACGUCAAGUCCUCAUGGCCCUUACGUGUUGGGCUACACACGUGCUACAAUGGUAUUUACAACAGGAAGCAAAACGGCGACGUUUAGCAAAUCCUUAAAAAAUACCUCAGUUCGGAUUGCACUCUGCAACUCGAGUGCAUGAAGCUGGAAUUACUAGUAAUCGUGGAUCAGCGUGCCACGGUGAAUGCGUUCCCGGGUCUUGUACACACCGCCCGUCACACCAUGGGAGUUGGUUCUACCUUAAGGCAAGGCUUUAAAACCUUGACCACGGUAUAGUCAGCGACUGGGGUGAAGUCGUAACAAGGUAGCCGUAGGGGAACCUGCGGCUGGAUUACCUCCUUUCUAA
This 1482-nucleotide ribosomal RNA is filed under the name Pelagibacterales bacterium SAG-MED07. Its description in RNAcentral is "bacterial SSU rRNA". It matches the Rfam family "Bacterial small subunit ribosomal RNA". The record is from RNAcentral. Lineage: Bacteria; Pseudomonadati; Pseudomonadota; Alphaproteobacteria; Candidatus Pelagibacterales.